RNAcentral lists this ribosomal RNA (1381 nucleotides) under uncultured bacterium. Its description in RNAcentral is "bacterial SSU rRNA". It matches the Rfam family "Bacterial small subunit ribosomal RNA", at positions 29 to 1381 of the family's 1533-position model. The record is from RNAcentral.
GAGAACGCGUGGCGGCGUGCCUAAUACUGCUUCUCGAGCGAACGGACUAUAAGCAUUGCUUCUCUGUAUUGUUAGCGGCGGACGGGAGAUUAACACGUGGAUCACCUACCUAUAAGACUGUGUGAUGACAUUCGGGAGACCGGAGCUAAUACCGUGAUACAUAUUUUGAACCGCAUGGUUCAAAAGUGAAAGACGGUCUUGCUGUCGCUUGUAGAUGGAUCCGCGCUGCAUUAUCUAGUUGGUAAGGUAACGGCUUACCAAUGCAACUAUGCAUAUCCGACCUGAGAGGGUGAUCGGCCGCUCUGGAUCUGAGACACAGUCCACACUCCUACUGGAGGCACCAGUUGGGAAUCUUCCUCAAUGGGCUAAAGCCUGACCGACCAACGCCGCGUGAUUGAUGAAUGUCUUCGGAUCAGGAAACUCUGAUUUUAUGGAGGAACAUAUGUGUCUGUAACUGUGCACAUCUGGACCGUCCCUAGUCAGAAAGCCCCGGCUAUCUACUUGCCUUCAGCCUCGGUAAUACAUACGUGGCAAGCAUUGUCCGGAGUUAUUGCUCGUAAAAGCGCGCGUAGGCGGUUUUUUAAGUCUGAUGUGAAAGCCCACGGCUCAACCGUGGAGGGUCAUUGGAAACUGGAAAACUUGAGUGCAGAAGAGGAAAGUGGAAUUCCAUGUGUAGCGGUGAAAAUGCGCAGAGAUAUGGAGGAACACCAGUGGCGAAGGCGACUUUCUGGUCUGUAACUGACGCUGAUGUGCGAAAGCGUGGGGAUCAAACAGGAUUAGAUACCCUGGUAGUCCACGCCGUAAACGAUGAGUGCUAAGUGUUAGGGGGUUUCCGCCCCUUAGUGCUGCAGCUAACGCAUUAAGCACUCCGCCUGGGGAGUACGACCGCAAGGUUGAAACUCAAAGGAAUUGACGGGGACCCGCACAAGCGGUGGAGCAUGUGGUUUAAUUCGAAGCAACGCGAAGAACCUUACCAAAUCUUGACAUCCUUUGACAACUCUAGAGAUAGAGCUUUCCCCUUCGGGGGACAAAGUGACAGGUGGUGCAUGGUUGUCGUCAGCUCGUGUCGUGAGAUGUUGGGUUAAGUCCCGCAACGAGCGCAACCCUUAAGCUUAGUUGCCAUCAUUAAGUUGGGCACUCUAAGUUGACUGCCGGUGACAAACCGGAGGAAGGUGGGGAUGACGUCAAAUCAUCAUGCCCCUUAUGAUUUGGGCUACACACGUGCUACAAUGGACAAUACAAAGGGCAGCGAAACCGCGAGGUCAAGCAAAUCCCAUAAAGUUGUUCUCAGUUCGGAUUGUAGUCUGCAACUCGACUACAUGAAGCUGGAAUCGCUAGUAAUCGUAGAUCAGCAUGCUACGGUGAAUACGUUCCCGGGUCU